UGAAAUGAUGAAGUGCAUUGGGCUCUGAUCAAUUUAUGCAUAAAUUGAAGGAAUCACAUUUGCCUAGACUGCAUUGUAUGACUC
Molecule: small nucleolar RNA, 84 nt
Filed under: Amborella trichopoda
Lineage: Eukaryota; Viridiplantae; Streptophyta; Magnoliopsida; Amborellales; Amborellaceae
Source: RNAcentral